CUCCCGUUGCUGUCCCCGUUCCUGUCCCAGACACUCCCGCAAGCGGUGGGAGCGGUUCGUGCACAGCGAGAACCAGCACCUGGUGAGCUCCGAGGCUCUGGAUUUCCUGGACAAACUGCUGCGCUACGACCACCAGAGCCGGCUCACGGCCCGCGACGCCAUGGACCACCCCUACUUCUACCCCAUUGCCAAGGACCCGGCGCGGAUGGGAGCCCCGGGUGGGCUCUCGGCCAGCACCCCCCCCGUCAGCUCCUCCACUAUGUUGGCAGGGAUCAGCUCCAUGCCCGCCCAGCCCCUCUCCGGCCUGGCUGCAUCGCCCGUCCUGGCCUCGCCCAGCGCCCUGGGAUCGCCCGUGCCCGCGGCUGCCAGCGUCCAGCCCUGAGCCGGG
This is a long non-coding RNA of Neopelma chrysocephalum (saffron-crested tyrant-manakin), 388 nucleotides long. RefSeq lists it as uncharacterized. The transcript is spliced from 3 exons. NCBI's taxonomy places the organism in Eukaryota, Metazoa, Chordata, Aves, Passeriformes, Pipridae. The record is from RefSeq and is a predicted model, not a curated record.